RNAcentral lists this ribosomal RNA (304 nucleotides) under Maconellicoccus hirsutus (hibiscus mealybug). RNAcentral's name for it is "partial small subunit ribosomal RNA". Lineage: Eukaryota; Metazoa; Arthropoda; Insecta; Hemiptera; Pseudococcidae. The record is from RNAcentral.
UCACUAUAAAAAAAAAUUAAUUAAAUUUUAUAUAUCAUUAUUAAAUAAAUUAUAAAAAUAUUUUAGUUAAUAUUUAUUUAUAUAAAUUAAAUUAAAUCAAGAUAUAGAAUAAUUAAUUUAAAAUGAAUUAUUUUUAAUUAGAUUAAAUUUAAGGAAAAUUAUAUUUAUUUUAUUUAAAUUUUAAAGUAAUUUUAUUUUUAUUAGAUAGAAUGAAUUAAUUUAUUAUUAUGUACAAAUUGCCCGUCACUUUUAUUUUAAAAAAUAAGUCGUAACAAAGUAAAUAUAUUGGAAAAUGUAUUUUAAA